CUUCUAUGAUGACAGCUCACUAGGCAGGCAGCGUGGAUCUAUGUUCCAGUCUCCUCUUGCAGAUCAGAUACCACCUCUGAGAUCCUUCUCUGCUCCUCACUGACCAAACUCAAGGAACAGAUCUUCCCUGCCCAGGUCUCCAGGACCCCAACCUACCCACUUCUAGGAGAGAAUUCACACAGGGUGGUCCUGAAAGGAGGAGGUGCUUUGCUUCUCUUUUUCGCAGAUGUCAAUUAUGGAUCAACUUCUGAGUCACAUAGAAGAGCACCAUCAAUUGGCCAUUUCUCACCUGAUCACUGAGGAUAUAAAGUGCUUUUCCAGACUCCAGGACUCGGUUCAUUGCUAGUAUCAGGACGCCUCUCAUGUAUGGGAAGCCAGAAACAUCCCAGGAGCCUCACUGACUGCUUGGGCACAGCCCUCUGAGCAGACCUAUGAAGAAACAGAAGGAUUUGUGCCUUUUAGGUAUCUCUGGUCAAAACAGGUAUUUGAAGUUCUGAUUCUGCUAUUAUCUGGCACCUCCACUUGGCCCAUUGCUGGAAAUAUUAGGACUAGAAAACAUCAAGAUCAGGCACCGAACAGGCAAAUCUCCACUGAGUGGUUCUGAUGUGCAAAUAGCUGAUGAAGACUGGUUAUGGUUAUAAAAUGGAACACAGUUUUCUAAUUACAUAGUGUGUGGGUCUCGUGUGUGUGUGUGUGUGCAUGCAUGUGUGUGCAUGUGUGUGUUCGUGUGUGUGUGUGUGCAUGUAUAUCUAAGGUGCUUCACAUUUAGCUCUCAGCUCUCAGAAUGAGUCCACAUUCUGAGGUAAAUCUAUGGUGUUUGAUACCAACCAAUUUGAGAGAAACAUCUGGUGUCAUUUGCUUUUCUAGAUUCAUUUUUAUAUCUCCAAGACAGAGACACAACAAAGCUUUACUUAGGGCCAACUUAUUCUAAAGUUUUAUUGGUAUCUAGAAGUAGACACCCAUGUCUCUUCCACUUCCUUAUUUGAAUAAAAUUAAGUGGGUCUAGUCCUUACCUUAAUUCUCUCUUAAAAAUGCUCAAGAAAACCAAUUUCAAUAGCUGGGCCUAAAACAAUAUUACAAAACUUGGGUGCUAGGAUUAUAACAAGGAUUUUUCCAACCAGCAAGAAACAAAGCAAGACUUUCAAACAGUUUUAUUAUUUUUUAUCUUUUUAAAAAUUGUAUUGGGGUAAAAUACACGUAGCAUAAAAUUUACCAUCUUAACCAUUUUUAGGCCUACAGUUCAGUGGUACUAAGUACAUUCCUAUUGUUAUACGGCCACUACCACUAUCCAUCUCCAGAAUCUUUUCAUCUUCCCAAACUGAAAUUCUGCCUCCAUUAAACAAUAACUCCCCAGUCCCAUCUUUCCCCAGGCCCUGGAAACCACCAUUCUAUUUUCUGUCUUUAUAAAUUUCACUACUCUAGACAUUUCAUAUAAAGAGAAUCAUAUAAUAUGUGUUCUUUUGUGGCUGGCUUAUUUCGCAGAGCAUAAUGUCUUCAAGCUUCAUCCAUGUUGUAGCAUAUGUCAGAAUUACCUUUGUUUUGAGGGUGAAUAAUAUUUCAUCAUAUGUAGAUGCCACAUAUUGUUUACUCACUCAUCCCUCAAUGGACGCUUGGGUUGCAUCCACGUUUUGGCUACUGUGAAAAAUGCUGCUAUGAAUAUGGGUGUACAAACAUCUCUUUGAGACCCUGCUUUCAACUCUUUUGGGUAUAUACCCAAAAGGUUAAUUGGUGGAUCAUACAGUAUUUCUACCUUUAAUUUUUUGAGGACUCACCAUAGUGUUUUCCAUAGCAGUUACAUCAUUUUACAAUCCUACCAAUAAACGGUACACAAGGGUUCCAAUUUUUUCACAUCCUUGCCAACACUUGUUAUUUUAUGUUUUUAGGCUAGCCAUCCUAAUGGGCAUGAGGCCUUCCAAACAGUUUUAUGAUCGACUAAGUUAACCAAGUAAACCAGAUCAAUGACGGGCCAUAACAUCAAUGACCAAAAGAAAGGGGGAUGGAAGACACUCAGAAAGUUCCACCCCAGCCCUUACAACAUUGUUUGAAUGGAGAGUAGAAGGGGACAAGCUCCCAUUUCACAAGGUAAAGUUUAUAGAUUACCUAGAUGUCUUUCAUUGCCACUUGUUCUAGGUCACACACACAAAACCUAACUCAGCAGUCUCAAGUAUAUCAGGAGGAAAAUGAUGCAAGUCUCAGUGAGAGAGAGAGAAAUAGUGAGAGAAAGAGUGAAAAGGAGGAGGAGGAAAAGGAGAAAAGGAAGGAAGAGAGGGAAUAGGAAAGGAGAGGCAAGGAAAGCUUUCACGUAGCAAAUGAAACAGAAUGAAAAGACAAAC
This 2333-nucleotide long non-coding RNA is filed under the name Homo sapiens (human). Its description in RNAcentral is "HSALNT0376937". Lineage: Eukaryota; Metazoa; Chordata; Mammalia; Primates; Hominidae. The record is from RNAcentral.